This 914-nucleotide ribosomal RNA is filed under the name uncultured marine archaeon. RNAcentral describes it as "bacterial SSU rRNA". It matches the Rfam family "Archaeal small subunit ribosomal RNA", at positions 1 to 922 of the family's 1478-position model. The record is from RNAcentral.
UUCCGGUUGAUCCUGCCGGACCUGACUGCUAUCGGAUUGAUACUAAGCCAUGCGAGUCAUUGUAGCAAUACAAGGCAUACGGCUCAGUAACGCGUAGUCAACCUAACCUAUGGACGGGAAUAACCUCGGGAAACUGAGAAUAAUGCCCGAUAGAACAUUAUACCUGGAAUGGUUUAUGUUCCAAAUGAUUUAUCGCCGUAGGAUGGGACUGCGGCCUAUCAGUUUGUUGGUGAGGUAAUGGCCCACCAAGACUAUUACAGGUACGGGCUCUGAGAGGAGUAGCCCGGAGAUGGGUACUGAGACACGGACCCAGGCCCUAUGGGGCGCAGCAGGCGAGAAAACUUUGCAAUGUGCGAAAGCACGACAAGGUUAAUCCGAGUGAUUUCUGCUAAAGAAAUCUUUUGUUAGUCCUAGAAACACUAACGAAUAAGGGGUGGGCAAGUUCUGGUGUCAGCCGCCGCGGUAAAACCAGCACCUCAAGUGGUCAGGAUGAUUAUUGGGCCUAAAGCAUCCGUAGCCGGCUCUGUAAGUUUUCGGUUAAAUCUGUACGCUCAACGUACAGGCCGCCGGGAAUACUGCAAAGCUAGGGAGUGGGAGAAGUAGACGGUACUCGGUAGGAAGUGGUAAAAUGCUUUGAUCUAUCGAUGACCACCUGUGGCGAAGGCGGUCUACUAGAACACGUCCGACGGUGAGGGAUGAAAGCUGGGGGAGCAAACCGGAUUAGAUACCCGGGUAGUCCCAGCUGUAAACUAUGCAAACUCAGUGAUGCAUUGGCUUGUGGCCAAUGCAGUGCUGCAGGGAAGCCGUUAAGUUUGCCGCCUGGGAAGUACGUACGCAAGUAUGAAACUUAAAGGAAUUGGCGGGGGAGCACCACAAGGGGUGAAGCCUGCGGUUCAAUUGGAUUCAACGCCGGG